Cavia porcellus (domestic guinea pig) is the source of this 1660-nucleotide long non-coding RNA. RefSeq lists it as uncharacterized. The record is from RefSeq and is a predicted model, not a curated record. Lineage: Eukaryota; Metazoa; Chordata; Mammalia; Rodentia; Caviidae. The transcript has 2 exons.
AUCAUUCCGAGGUUUGGUCUACCUCAGAGUAUUCAGUCAGAUAAUGGUCCCACCUUUAUUUCUCAGAUCACUCAACAGGUAUCCUUGAGCUUACAUAUCACCUGGCACCUACACAUCCUAUACCAUCCACAAUCCUCAGGAAAAGUAGAAAAAGCAAAUGGCCUCAUAAAGACACACCUUACAAAACUCACUUUAGAACUAUACCAAUCUUGGCCUCAACUUUUGCCCUUAGCCUUAGCUAAGCUCAGGGCACUUCCCCGGGCUCCUACUUUCUUAAGUCCUUUUGAACUUAUGUACGGCAGGCCAUUCUUACUCCACAAUCUUCCUGGCUCCCCCAAAUCUCUCUCCCCUGGCUGACUAUGUCCCAGUCCUCUCCUUCCUCCAACACCUGUUGCAACAACAUGCUGAUCUCUGCCUUCCACAACCCUCUGGAGAGGCCAAACCAGAUCCUCCCAUAUCCCCAGGAGAUCUAAUUUAUCUCAAAUGUUCUAAAUCCACAGGACUACAACCAAGGUGGAGUGGCCCCUAUCUGGUCUACUUGGCUACCCCUACAGUGGUCAAAGUUGCUGGACUCCCAUCCUGGUUUCACAUCACUCAGGCUAAAAGGGGCCCUCCCAGCCCUAAAUCUGAUCAUUCUGAGUGGUUAUCUCAUCUUCUGUCACCCACCUGUCUCCGUUUCACGAAGGCCUCACAGCCACAGUUAACAGGCUAAGUCAUGUUUUGUUAUCCAAUUUGGUUCCUAAUCUCUUACGCUCUAUUAAUGAUCAUUUUUACAGCAGGACUCUUGACAGUCUUUCCUAGAGACCCCACAUCAUGCGUAAGAUCAUCUUUAUAAUGUUCUAUGUGAUAACUGUUGUGGUUCUUUCUACCCUCAGCUGUCUGGUUAAACAUGACAUCCCUGAAAGCCUAAGCCCUUACCUUCCCUAUACUGGACAGCCAACGUCUCCCCUACUCCCCCUAUUUUUUCCAGCUCAACUCCUAGACCAGAGACAAGUUUUACACACCUACCCUCCUAACUUUUAUGCCUUCAGAUGGGGGAGUAAUCACCUCUCAUAAUUUCACUCCUUCUAACCUCACACUUAUUUUUCAGAAUUCUACCUCACCAUGAUAAUGAUCUUACCUCAACAUCAUCCUGAUAAAAUACCAUGUCUAAAUCAAAGUCUGACAUACGUACAUUCACCAGUGAAGUUGUCCUGGCUAAAACACCUGGCAUCAGCAUCUACCUGGGCAUCAACCAUCAUCCCAUCAACUCCCCUAGGCUCCAGUACAGUGCCCCCUGCCAGCAGGAAGUAGUUAAAGAGAGAAAUCUUUGCCCCUUUUCCUAAAAAUCAUAAGACGGGAUAUGAAAGGGUUGUUGACCCAGACCGCACACUGUAGCCAGAAAAAGCCUCAGCUGGAAUUAGGGAGCUCCUGUCUCCCCUGCCCCUAGAGAUUUACCUGUAACCCUAUACCCCCCCCCUUUGGAAUCUGCCCCUGGUGCCAAACGUGUGCCAAUGAAAUACCUGUGCAUCCCUAAUGGCCUUAAGGCACUGCCCUAAGCUUAGGCUACUUAUAUUCCCCCACACCAAGUGUCUGCGAGAGAGAGAUCACCAGAUUUCAGUGGCCAGCUGCCAGUCCUCUCUCUCCAUGUUCCCAGAAUAAAGGCCUCUUUUGUUUUAUA